AGACAACGGCAGUCCAGCGGGAAAGCUGGUACAAAACCACAACAAUCUGUUGAACAAACAGAAAAGGCUCCAGGACAAGAGACUCGUGAUAGAUCGUCAGGUGCACUUGAAGCAUUCAGUAGAAGACUUGCGUCUGGUGUUGGACAGCAGGGUGACCGCUUGAAGCACAGGACAUCAGAGGAUGCAUCAUCAUCUAAGGAGGCACGAACUCAUUCAGAAAGAGGCC
Molecule: unclassified non-coding RNA, 226 nt
Filed under: Hevea brasiliensis (rubber tree)
Lineage: Eukaryota; Viridiplantae; Streptophyta; Magnoliopsida; Malpighiales; Euphorbiaceae
Source: RNAcentral